Molecule: transfer RNA, 74 nt
Filed under: Acropora cervicornis
Lineage: Eukaryota; Metazoa; Cnidaria; Anthozoa; Scleractinia; Acroporidae
Description: tRNA-Ser
Rfam family: tRNA
About the family: Transfer RNA (tRNA) molecules are approximately 80 nucleotides in length.
Source: RNAcentral
GGUCUUCAUAGCUCAGUUGGUUGAGCGCUGCAGCGCUAACGCAGAGGCCAAGGGUUCGAAUCCCGUUGAAGCCC